CGAGUGAACAUGAUGAUUUUUGCUGCGAUUUCCUGAAUUCGCCAUGUGGAGAUCCAUCUUGGAGAGCUGAGCACUCG
Chiloscyllium plagiosum (whitespotted bambooshark) is the source of this 77-nucleotide small nucleolar RNA. Lineage: Eukaryota; Metazoa; Chordata; Chondrichthyes; Orectolobiformes; Hemiscylliidae. The record is from RefSeq and is a predicted model, not a curated record.